RNAcentral lists this ribosomal RNA (347 nucleotides) under uncultured euryarchaeote. RNAcentral describes it as "bacterial SSU rRNA". It matches the Rfam family "Archaeal small subunit ribosomal RNA", at positions 184 to 532 of the family's 1478-position model. Lineage: Archaea; Methanobacteriati; Methanobacteriota. The record is from RNAcentral.
GGAUUAAAACAUCCAUCGCCUUAGGGAGAAUAUUGGGUCUAUCAAGUCGUUGGGGGGGGUGAGGGCCCACCAGCCUAGUAAGCAUUCGGGUCCUUGAGAGAGAGCCCGGAGAUGGAUUAUGAGACAAAGGGUCAGGCCCUUCGGGGGGCAGCAGGGCGGAAAACUUUACAAUGCGGGAAACCGCGAUAAGGGGAUACUGAGUGCCAGCAUAUUAUGUUGGCUGUCCACCUGUAUAAACAGCAGGUGUUAGCAAGGGCCGGGGAAGACCGGUGCCAGCCGCCGCGGUAACACCGGCGGCCCGAGUGGUGGCCACUAUUAUUGGGUCUAAAGGGUCCGUAACCGGUUUG